UUUGAACCUGGCUCAGGACGAACGCUGGCGGCGUGCUUAACACAUGCAAGUCGAACGGAAAGGCCCCUUCGGGGGUGCUCGAGUGGCGAACGGGUGAGUAACACGUGGGUGAUCUGCCCUGCACUUCGGGAUAAGCUUGGGAAACUGGGUCUAAUACCGGAUAGGACCAUGGGAUGCAUGUCUUGUGGUGGAAAGCUUUUGCGGUGUGGGAUGGGCCCGCGGCCUAUCAGCUUGUUGGUGGGGUGAUGGCCUACCAAGGCGACGACGGGUAGCCGGCCUGAGAGGGUGUCCGGCCACACUGGGACUGAGAUACGGCCCAGACUCCUACGGGAGGCAGCAGUGGGGAAUAUUGCACAAUGGGCGCAAGCCUGAUGCAGCGACGCCGCGUGGGGGAUGACGGCCUUCGGGUUGUAAACCUCUUUCAGCAGGGACGAAGCGUAAGUGACGGUACCUGCAGAAGAAGCACCGGCCAACUACGUGCCAGCAGCCGCGGUAAUACGUAGGGUGCGAGCGUUGUCCGGAAUUACUGGGCGUAAAGAGCUCGUAGGUGGUUUGUCGCGUUGUUCGUGAAAUUCCAUGGCUUAACUGUGGGCGUGCGGGCGAUACGGGCAGACUGGAGUACUGCAGGGGAGACUGGAAUUCCUGGUGCAGCGGUGGAAUGCGCAGAUAUCAGGAGGAACACCGGUGGCGAAGGCGGGUCUCUGGGCAGUAACUGACGCUGAGGAGCGAAAGCGUGGGGGAGCGAACAGGAUUAGAUACCCUG
This 763-nucleotide ribosomal RNA is filed under the name uncultured Actinomycetes bacterium. RNAcentral's name for it is "bacterial SSU rRNA". It matches the Rfam family "Bacterial small subunit ribosomal RNA", at positions 12 to 789 of the family's 1533-position model. The record is from RNAcentral. Lineage: Bacteria; Bacillati; Actinomycetota; Actinomycetes.